UCGAUCUCAAAUCAGGUAGGACUACCCGCUGAACUUAAGCAUAUCAAUAAGCGGAGGAAAAGAAACUAACAAGGAUUCCCCUAGUAACUGCGAGUGAAGCGGGAAGAGCUCAAAUUUAAAAUCUGGCGUGCCUCUGGCCGUCCGAGUUGUAGUCUGGAGAAGCGUCUUCCGUGUUGGACCGUGUAUAAGUCUCUUGGAACAGGGCGUCAUAGAGGGUGAGAAUCCCGUCUUUGACACGGACUACCAAUGCUUGGUGAUGCGCUCUCAAAGAGUCGAGUUGUUUGGGAAUGCAGCUCAAAAUGGGUGGGUAAAUCCAUCUAAAGCUAAUAUAGGCGAGAGACCGAUAGCGAACAAGUACCGUGAGGGAA
Molecule: ribosomal RNA, 368 nt
Filed under: uncultured fungus
Lineage: Eukaryota; Fungi
Description: eukaryotic LSU rRNA
Rfam family: Eukaryotic large subunit ribosomal RNA
Source: RNAcentral